UACGAGGGGGGCGAGCGUUGUUCGGAAUUAUUGGGCGUAAAGGGUGCGUAGGCGGUUUGGUAAGUCUGAUGUGAAAUCUAUGGGCUCAAACUCAUAGUCUGCAUCGGAAACUGCCGGGCUUGAGUGUGGGAGAGGUGAGUGGAAUUCCUGGUGUAGCGGUGAAAUGACGUAGAUAUCAGGAGGAACACCUGUGGCGAAAGCGGCUCACUGGACCAUAACUGACGCUGAUGCACGAAAGCUAGGGGAGCAAACAGG
RNAcentral lists this ribosomal RNA (255 nucleotides) under uncultured bacterium. Its description in RNAcentral is "partial 16S ribosomal RNA". It matches the Rfam family "Bacterial small subunit ribosomal RNA", at positions 524 to 776 of the family's 1533-position model. The record is from RNAcentral.